GAAUGGGUCAGAAGUUAGAAGUUACAGGAAAAACGUUUCAGAGCAAAAGCCACACCCUGCCCAGAGAAAAACAAUUCCUGUCCACUGCUCAGCUCAGCAGCAAAACUGAAACUAGUGACUCGAAUUUCAAAUCACUACGAGGAUGGUAGUGAUAUCGUUACUGACUCCACCAAGGACACCCAGGCCCAACCCCCCACAUGACACCCAGCAUCCUGGUUUCCACCUGCCCUCACAAGCUUCUCAACCACAGGCCCAGAUGUUCUCGAGGCUCACAUGCUGUGGUCCAGCCUCUGGAUAGAUACAUCGGAAAAACUGCAACUGAGGACGAAGAGGUUAAAAAAAUCUUCCCUGGGCAAGAAGAAGAGAACAAAACCUUUGAGAUAAGCUUUCCUAACACAGCUGUGCAUAUCCAGCAUGAUCAACGGUUGUUCAAAAGUAACCAGGUCUUUCUGUCCCUCCCUCGUAUGUGAGUGAGCAUCUUUCCCGGGAAGUCAAGGUCCAGACAUGGAGAUUCAGCCUCGCAAGGCCAAAUGCAAGUUGAAGAUGAAAACAAACCAGAAAAGUCCAGAUGGUCAGGGAAAAGAAAAUUCAGUCUUCAAGGCCAAACACAGGCUGCUGGCGAGGCGCCAACCAGCACAGCCACUUGGUUCCCAUUCCCACCUAAAACCCCAGCACGUGCUCCCCCUCUCCCACCUAAAACUCUAGAUAAAAACCUCUACCUCUUUCCCUUCAAGGAGGUGGAUCUGAGUUCUAACUCCCAUCUCCUCAUCUGGCUGCCUUUUGAUAAUAGUAAACCUCUUUUCUUG
RNAcentral lists this long non-coding RNA (806 nucleotides) under Equus caballus (horse). Its description in RNAcentral is "lncRNA (ENSECAG00000033252.2)". The record is from RNAcentral. Lineage: Eukaryota; Metazoa; Chordata; Mammalia; Perissodactyla; Equidae.